GAUGAGCGCUAGCUACAGGCUUAACACAUGCAAGUCGAGGGGAAACGACAUCGAAAGCUUGCUUUUGAUGGGCGUCGACCGGCGCACGGGUGAGUAACGCGUAUCCAACCUGCCCACCACUUGGGGAUAACCUUGCGAAAGUAAGACUAAUACCCAAUGAUAUCUCUAGAGGACAUCUGAAGGAGAUUAAAGAUUUAUCGGUGAUGGAUGGGGAUGCGUCUGAUUAGCUUGUUGGCGGGGUAACGGCCCACCAAGGCGACGAUCAGUAGGGGUUCUGAGAGGAAGGUCCCCCACAUUGGAACUGUGACACGGUCCAAACUCCGACGGGAGGCAGCAGUGAGGAAUAUUGGUCAAUGGGCGAGAGCUUGAACCAGCCAAGUAGCGUGCAGGAUGACGGCCCUAUGGGUUGUAAACUGCUUUUAUAAGGGAAUAAAGUGAGCCUCGUGAGGCUUUUUGCAUGUACCUUAUGAAUAAGGACCGGCUAAUUCCGUGCCAGCCGCCGCCGUAA
Molecule: ribosomal RNA, 508 nt
Filed under: uncultured bacterium
Lineage: Bacteria
Description: partial 16S ribosomal RNA
Rfam family: Bacterial small subunit ribosomal RNA
Source: RNAcentral